CGGGACACGUGGUAUCCUGUCUGAAUAUGGGGGGACCAUCCUCCAAGGCUAAAUACUCCUGACUGACCGAUAGUGAACCAGUACCGUGAGGGAAAGGCGAAAAGAACCCCGGCGAGGGGAGUGAAAAAGAACCUGAAACCGUGUACGUACAAGCAGUGGGAGCACGCUUAGGCGUGUGACUGCGUACCUUUUGUAUAAUGGGUCAGCGACUUAUAUUCUGUAGCAAGGUUAACCGAAUAGGGGAGCCGAAGGGAAACCGAGUCUUAACUGGGCGUUAAGUUGCAGGGUAUAGACCCGAAACCCGGUGAUCUAGCCAUGGGCAGGUUGAAGGUUGGGUAACACUAACUGGAGGACCGAACCGACUAAUGUUGAAAAAUUAGCGGAUGACUUGUGGCUGGGGGUGAAAGGCCAAUCAAACCGGGAGAUAGCUGGUUCUCCCCGAAAGCUAUUUAGGUAGCGCCUCGUGAAUUCAUCUCCGGGGGUAGAGCACUGUUUCGGCAAGGGGGUCAUCCCGACUUACCAACCCGAUGCAAACUGCGAAUACCGGAGAAUGUUAUCACGGGAGACACACGGCGGGUGCUAACGUCCGUCGUGAAGAGGGAAACAACCCAGACCGCCAGCUAAGGUCCCAAAGUCAUGGUUAAGUGGGAAACGAUGUGGGAAGGCCCAGACAGCCAGGAUGUUGGCUUAGAAGCAGCCAUCAUUUAAAGAAAGCGUAAUAGCUCACUGGUCGAGUCGGCCUGCGCGGAAGAUGUAACGGGGCUAAACCAUGCACCGAAGCUGCGGCAGCGACGCUGAUGCGUUGUUGGGUAGGGGAGCGUUCUGUAAGCCUGUGAAGGUGUGCUGUGAGGCAUGCUGGAGGUAUCAGAAGUGCGAAUGCUGACAUAAGUAACGAUAAAGCGGGUGAAAAGCCCGCUCGCCGGAAGACCAAGGGUUCCUGUCCAACGUUAAUCGGGGCAGGGUGAGUCGACCCCUAAGGCGAGGCCGAAAGGCGUAGUCGAUGGGAAACAGGUUAAUAUUCCUGUACUUGGUGUUACUGCGAAGGGGGGACGGAGAAGGCUAUGUUGGCCGGGCGACGGUUGUCCCGGUUUAAGCGUGUAGGCUGGUUUUCCAGGCAAAUCCGGAAAAUCAAGGCUGAGGCGUGAUGACGAGGCACUACGGUGCUGAAGCAACAAAUGCCCUGCUUCCAGGAAAAGCCUCUAAGCAUCAGGUAACAUCAAAUCGUACCCCAAACCGACACAGGUGGUCAGGUAGAGAAUACCAAGGCGCUUGAGAGAACUCGGGUGAAGGAACUAGGCAAAAUGGUGCCGUAACUUCGGGAGAAGGCACGCUGAUAUGUAGGUGAAGCGACUUGCUCGUGGAGCUGAAAUCAGUCGAAGAUACCAGCUGGCUGCAACUGUUUAUUAAAAACACAGCACUGUGCAAACACGAAAGUGGACGUAUACGGUGUGACGCCUGCCCGGUGCCGGAAGGUUAAUUGAUGGGGUCAGCGCAAGCGAAGCUCUUGAUCGAAGCCCCGGUAAACGGCGGCCGUAACUAUAACGGUCCUAAGGUAGCGAAAUUCCUUGUCGGGUAAGUUCCGACCUGCACGAAUGGCGUAAUGAUGGCCAGGCUGUCUCCACCCGAGACUCAGUGAAAUUGAACUCGCUGUGAAGAUGCAGUGUACCCGCGGCAAGACGGAAAGACCCCGUGAACCUUUACUAUAGCUUGACACUGAACAUUGAGCCUUGAUGUGUAGGAUAGGUGGGAGGCUUUGAAGUGUGGACGCCAGUCUGCAUGGAGCCGGCCUUGAAAUACCACCCUUUAAUGUUUGAUGUUCUAACGUUGACCCGUGAUCCGGGUUGCGGACAGUGUCUGGUGGGUAGUUUGACUGGGGCGGUCUCCUCCUAAAGAGUAACGGAGGAGCACGAAGGUUGGCUAAUCCUGGUCGGACAUCAGGAGGUUAGUGCAAUGGCAUAAGCCAGCUUGACUGCGAGCGUGACGGCGCGAGCAGGUGCGAAAGCAGGUCAUAGUGAUCCGGUGGUUCUGAAUGGAAGGGCCAUCGCUCAACGGAUAAAAGGUACUCCGGGGAUAACAGGCUGAUACCGCCCAAGAGUUCAUAUCGACGGCGGUGUUUGGCACCUCGAUGUCGGCUCAUCACAUCCUGGGGCUGAAGUAGGUCCCAAGGGUAUGGCUGUUCGCCAUUUAAAGUGGUACGCGAGCUGGGUUUAGAACGUCGUGAGACAGUUCGGUCCCUAUCUGCCGUGGGCGCUGGAGAAC
RNAcentral lists this ribosomal RNA (2259 nucleotides) under Escherichia coli. RNAcentral's name for it is "partial 23S ribosomal RNA". It matches the Rfam family "Bacterial large subunit ribosomal RNA", at positions 418 to 2662 of the family's 2925-position model. Lineage: Bacteria; Pseudomonadati; Pseudomonadota; Gammaproteobacteria; Enterobacterales; Enterobacteriaceae. The record is from RNAcentral.